AAUCCCUUAGCUCAGUGGUUUAGAGCUUCGUACUUAUGGGUUACCUAUGUUAUGCGAGGGUCGCCAGUUCGAUCCUGGCAGGGAUUA
Tulasnella sp. 419 is the source of this 87-nucleotide non-coding RNA. The record is from the annotation of a GenBank genome assembly. Lineage: Eukaryota; Fungi; Basidiomycota; Agaricomycetes; Cantharellales; Tulasnellaceae.